Molecule: long non-coding RNA, 3365 nt
Filed under: Fragaria vesca (wild strawberry)
Lineage: Eukaryota; Viridiplantae; Streptophyta; Magnoliopsida; Rosales; Rosaceae
Description: long non-coding RNA (FVES_LNC003742)
Source: RNAcentral
UAAUACUUGUAGAGAUCUCUAUAUGGAUUGGAUUUGACAUUGAGGCGUCCCCCAACGAUAAUCACAAUUCAGACUUCAUGAGACGGAUUUGAGUAUCACUGAUCAAUGGAUCAGGUUGUGCCAAGCUCGCUUUCUUUCUAGUGCAAGACAAUAUCGAACCUAAGGGCCUCCCUCAUUUUAGGGAGCCACACGGCCUUGUGACACUAAUUUUGCCACUAUAUGGCGUCACCAUAUCACCAUCCAUGGUGAUGGCAUCAAGACCAACACUUUUUGGUCGCGCCAUGUACUUUUGUAGGACAUCAAUCCUUGCAGACAUAUUUGCAGCAUGUGAUCUCGUCACUUUAACACUAUAAGCAUUUGGGAUCAAGAUGAGACUUAGUGGGGACAAACCACGACAAUUCACGUCGUUCCACUUGAACACUUGUGUUCUUAUCUUCCCCUAACGGCGGGAAUAUUGUCUCAUCAAAGUGACAAUCCGCAAUUUAGCGGUGAAUGAGAUCGCCUGACAAGGUUCCUACAUAUGCGGAUUAUAGGUGGAGGUUCAUAUCCAACCUAAACUUAUUCAUCUCAAAUGACCCAUCAUUGUACGCAGUGGCAAUGCGAUUUGGCACCUAGAAAUAACAUCUAGCCGAGCUCAAGGAUUGGAGAUCCGUUUCAAUCCUGCGAGCUCAAGGAUUGCAAUUUCGUGUCAAUCCUGGUACACAGUCACGAGCUGUAGUACAACAAAAUUCAAUGAUGGUAGGUCGUAGAUGAAUAGUAAAGCUGCAUGCAAAUAUUGCAUAGCCCCAAGACGCGAUAGAAAGAGUGGUGCGCAUCAAUAAUGUUCGAGCGACAAGCUAAAGUUGCUUGGUCGUAGCCUCGGUGAGACCGUAUUGUGUGUGAACAUGGGGUACAGAACACUUCAACUUACAUCCCGAUGAACUUCUUUAAAGAAUGGGUAGUGAGCCCGUAGAAGUAUAAGCAGUAUAAGCAGUAGAAGCAGUAGAUAAUAGUGUAACACGUGACCAGUGUGUUAACACGUCAACCAACACCAUAAAGCAUAAAAAGGUAUCCGCAAGUUGGUUUUAUCUAUCUACAUAGUUUGAUGUAAGAAUAGAAUGUUCACUUUUGUGUUAUUUAGCGUAGGAGGGUCUCACUCCUUAUUUAGCUAAAGAAUAGGGUUUCAAAACGAGCAAUGAGCAUUGCAGGGGGCCAAUGCGACAUCGAGGAAAGGCCGGUGCACCUCAAUUGCUUGAGGAAUUGACCGGACGACCUCCAGGAAGUUGGAGUUGUGUUCGGGUGACGUCAAUGUCCCCCGGGUCACCACCAUGCUUCAUGGUGAUGAUAGAUCUCGAAUGUCUUCGUUUUGAGCGGAAGAAUGGAUGUCCAUGAGAAUUUCUCAAAAUUUGGACCAUUAUAUCUCUUCCAGGUUGACCAAUUUGGUCAAACCAAAGCCUAUAUGAGUCGGUGUCCUAAAUAUCAUGUUUGGCGACAACAUGGGAUUCGAUAUUCGAAUCGUAGUGACAUACAGUUCACUAGAUUGACUCAUGAAUUUCUCCAAGAUGCGCUUCAAUUCGCAUUCAUGAGGAGGUAUACACAAAAGAAUUCUUGUUCAUUCUCACAAUGUGUUUUCAAAUGAAAACCAUUAGCAUGAAUGUCUUUAAAGCUCAACAUGGUUCCUUAGAAUGUUGUGGAUAGUUCCACUGUCUGCGAAGCACUCAAUGUCUCUAUGAGACAUAACUACAAGGAGUAGAUAGGCGAGUAAAUAGUUCUACUUGAACCAUCUAGAAGGAUUGAAAGAAGCUACGAAAAGCUGCAAUCCCGAGAGUGCAUAAAAAUUUCCGCGCAGAAAGACCUUUGCGCACUAAAACAGCCAUAACUUCUUCGUUAAAAUAGAUAUGGACGAACCGUGAAAAGUUCUGAAAACUAGACUCAUAGAGCUUUCCAAUAAUAUAAAGCUCACUGUCUGGUUCGUCCGGAGCUGUUCACAAAGCUCAAACGAAGUUGACUGUCCAGAAGGGACAGAUUGCUGUUUUUCGCAGAUUUGGCAUGUGCGAAGCUGUGAAGCUUGCAGGUGGCGUGUAGGCUUUUGCCUUAGCCAAAAGUGACGUGUGUAUGAUCAAAACCAAGUCCUUUCGAUCGUUCUAAGGUCGUAAACUUCAUGACUAGUUAGCAAAAGCUCCCUGACAUGAACAUAAACUAACUCACAGGACCUAGAGGAUCUGAUCAUGAUGAUAAUUUUCCAGCUUUGAUAAGUCUUCAACAUCUUUUGCAAGACGGAAAUUGGUUUAAUAGCGUAGGGGGAUCCAAAAUCAAAAGCUUUCGGUAACUCCAAGUCAGUAUGACUAGGCAUGUCCGUGGAGGGUCGGUAGUGCGAGACACACUUAAAACCACUAUCUCCUUAAUUUCGGACAAUUCUAAAACAUCACACUGAGCUUGGAUGAGCCUAAUUGAACAAUUGAUGAUAAAAAAUCAGCUAUAGGGUAGAAGACUUAACCGGAAACACGUGGGCGAUCCUCCUUAAGGAUGCAGUGCCAUGAGUCACCUUCAAAGGAAGGGACCAAAAUCGGCACAAUAUGUCAUGUUUCUAAGGGAUGUAAGUGUACAUCUUGAUUGUAAAUCAAUAUGAACCAUAAGAGGAGAAUAGUUUCACUUCGAAAAAAUUCUCAAGGCAUUCAUUAUUGCUGAUGUGAGUACAUCGAGGUCUCAAAUAGACAAAGGACGUCGAUACAACGCCUUAGUACAUAAAGCUUGGAACGAAAAUCAAUGUCUAGCCGAUGACGUCAAAGUCAUGGGUAGCUAGAGCAGGAUCUGAAUCUUUGAUAUUGGCGAUCAUGAGGAUGACGUUCUCGUUCUCAUAUUGAUUUUCCAUACCUUUUUGUAUGCAUUCACAAUUUAAAGGAGUUUGACAAUCUUGAACCAGUGAUCCGAAGAUCCACAACGGUUACAUUAAUGUCAUGAGCUGACGUGAGUAAUUUUGACAAAAUGGUGUCUAGACCGGGAGUGUCGCUAUUAGAGCCGGCAACACCUCCCCCUCUUUUCUAGACAUUGGCACGACGUUUUCUGCCGUUGCCAUGACCCAUAUUGUUGUCCCCACAUUAGGGGAUAAUCUCAAAUAAGUUUAUCACAUUAGCGUAUAUACAAUUCCUGUUUGUAUGAUCAAAAUCAAGUCUCGUUGGUAAUUCCACACCAACUUGGAGGACCUAGAGAACUUGAUGAUGAUCGAAUCCGCUAAAAAUUAUGGAUCAUGAUGCCACAAAAGAUCAUCGACAAUAUGUAGUCAAUUAAGGUGGUAAGCAAUCCACUUAACUAAUAACUCAACAAGUAGAGUUAUAUGAACGUUUCGAGAAACGCUCCAUGAGUGCAUUCCACAGUACUUUGNNNNN